Long non-coding RNA from Gossypium arboreum, 874 nucleotides. RefSeq lists it as uncharacterized. The transcript is spliced from 2 exons. The record is from RefSeq and is a predicted model, not a curated record. Lineage: Eukaryota; Viridiplantae; Streptophyta; Magnoliopsida; Malvales; Malvaceae.
CAUCAACUCUCAAGUCUCUCAACCGUCAGUCACUAAAAAAUUCAAAAACAACAAAACCAUUGGAACCCACAAAAUUUUUUCAAAACCCAUUGGUCCCAUACAAGGCAUCCAUCCUUCCAAAACCUUUCCCCUUCUCUCAUCAAACCUAAAGAAUAUAUUUACAGAUUCAACUUUCAAGACUUGUUUGUUAUCUAUUCACUAAUCUAUCAACUGCUUUUCGGGCAUGAUACAAGUUACAACAAUAUUUGCAUUUUACAGCAAAAACAAGCAAGAAUCAAGAUACAAAAUUUCAGCUGCGAUCCACCACUAUUGGUCCACCACUAUUGGUGUAGCCCCGUUUCACACCGCUAUUUUCAGUAAUAGCUGUUUCGGACAGCGCCGUUACCACUAUAUAGUGGCCGCUAUUUUAGUAUCCGACCGCUAUUUACAUCCCUACUAAACAGCAAUGGGAGGAGAAGAGAGAUUUAAAAAUCGUGUCUGACAAAAGGAAAAUGAGAGUCAUUAGCCAACGAAAGGACGAAAAGAAGGAUCUGGAAAUGGUAACUGGAAAAGGGGUAGUAUGAUCAAUGAGAAAAUAUUGGGAAUUGAAUCGGGUAAUUAAGAUUUUUGUCAGGUUAAAUGUUGGGCAUUGGUUGUAUGGAAAUGGGGCCUGGUGGGUUUUAGGAAAGUUUAUUUAGGUUUUGGGUUAGGUUAAGAAAAGUUUCUGUUAGUUGGAGUUUUUUUAUUGUAGCCUUAGUUUACCUUUUUUUGUUUUUGUACAAACUGUUGGCCAAGGCCCAUUCUUUAAUGCAAAGUCCCAUAUUAUAUUAAAAAAAAAAGUAAGUAAGUAAAAGGUAUUGUUGGAUAUAUUAGAGGUGGAGAAUUUCUUUUUUAA